CGGACGGGUGAGUAAUGUCUGGGAAACUGCCUGAUGGAGGGGGAUAACUACUGGAAACGGUAGCUAAUACCGCAUAACGUCGCAAGACCAAAGAGGGGGACCUUGGGCCUCUUGCCAUCGGAUGUGCCCAGAUGGGAUUAGCUAGUAGGUGGGGUAACGGCUCACCUAGGCGACGAUCCCUAGCUGGUCUGAGAGGAUGACCAGCCACACUGGAACUGAGACACGGCCCAG
RNAcentral lists this ribosomal RNA (231 nucleotides) under uncultured bacterium. RNAcentral describes it as "partial 16S ribosomal RNA". It matches the Rfam family "Bacterial small subunit ribosomal RNA", at positions 99 to 334 of the family's 1533-position model. The record is from RNAcentral.